GUAGGGAAUCUUCCGCAAUGGACGAAAGUCUGACGGAGCAACGCCGCGUGAGUGAUGAAGGCUUUCGGGUCGUAAAACUCUGUUGUUAGGGAAGAACAAGUGCUAGUUGAAUAAGCUGGCACCUUGACGGUACCUAACCAGAAAGCCACGGCUAACUACGUGCCAGCAGCCGCGGUAAUACGUAGGUGGCAAGCGUUAUCCGGAAUUAUUGGGCGUAAAGCGCGCGCAGGUGGUUUCUUAAGUCUGAUGUGAAAGCCCACGGCUCAACCGUGGAGGGUCAUUGGAAACUGGGAGACUUGAGUGCAGAAGAGGAAAGUGGAAUUCCAUGUGUAGCGGUGAAAUGCGUAGAGAUAUGGAGGAACACCAGUGGCGAAGGCGACUUUCUGGUCUGUAACUGACACUGAGGCGCGAAAGCGUGGGGAGCAAACAGGAUUAGAUACCCUGGUAGUCCACGCCGUAAACGAUGAGUGCUAAGUGUUAGAGGGUUUCCGCCCUUUAGUGCUGAAGUUAACGCAUAAGCAUUCCGCCUGGGAGCCCCCGAAUUUUUUGUUUUUAAUUCC
This 560-nucleotide ribosomal RNA is filed under the name Bacillus mycoides. RNAcentral describes it as "bacterial SSU rRNA". It matches the Rfam family "Bacterial small subunit ribosomal RNA", at positions 354 to 873 of the family's 1533-position model. Lineage: Bacteria; Bacillati; Bacillota; Bacilli; Caryophanales; Bacillaceae. The record is from RNAcentral.